GGAUGGGUAUGCCUAGCGGCGAGGGCAGCGGACUGUAAAUCCGUCACAGAGAAACACCGCAGGUUCGAUUCCUGCCCCAUCCA
RNAcentral lists this transfer RNA (83 nucleotides) under Lachnospiraceae bacterium. RNAcentral's name for it is "tRNA-Tyr". It matches the Rfam family "tRNA". From Rfam's summary of the family: Transfer RNA (tRNA) molecules are approximately 80 nucleotides in length. Their secondary structure includes four short double-helical elements and three loops (D, anti-codon, and T loops). Further hydrogen bonds mediate the characteristic L-shaped molecular structure. tRNAs have two regions of fundamental functional importance: the anti-codon, which is responsible for specific mRNA codon recognition, and the 3' end, to which the tRNAs corresponding amino acid is attached (by aminoacyl-tRNA synthetases). tRNAs cope with the degeneracy of the genetic code in two manners: having more than one tRNA (with a specific anti-codon) for a particular amino acid; and 'wobble' base-pairing, i.e. permitting non-standard base-pairing at the 3rd anti-codon position. The record is from RNAcentral. Lineage: Bacteria; Bacillati; Bacillota; Clostridia; Lachnospirales; Lachnospiraceae.